AUACAAGUGAUUGUGCUGGAUCUUGCAAAGGUUCAGUUUAGUAUUAUGAUACUUAUGCU
RNAcentral lists this transfer RNA (59 nucleotides) under Gastrothylax crumenifer. Its description in RNAcentral is "tRNA-Cys". The record is from RNAcentral. Lineage: Eukaryota; Metazoa; Platyhelminthes; Trematoda; Plagiorchiida; Gastrothylacidae.